CGCUAGCUACAGGCUUAACACAUGCAAGUCGAGGGGCAGCAUCAUCAAAGCUUGCUUUGAUGGAUGGCGACCGGCGCACGGGUGAGUAACACGUAUCCAACCUGCCGACAACACUGGGAUAGCCUUUCGAAAGAAAGAUUAAUACCGGAUGGCAUAGUUUUCCCGCAUGGGAUAAUUAUUAAAGAAUUUCGGUUGUCGAUGGGGAUGCGUUCCAUUAGGCAGUUGGCGGGGUAACGGCCCACCAAACCAACGAUGGAUAGGGGUUCUGAGAGGAAGGUCCCCCACAUUGGAACUGAGACACGGUCCAAACUCCUACGGGAGGCAGCAGUGAGGAAUAUUGGUCAAUGGACGAGAGUCUGAACCAGCCAAGUAGCGUGAAGGAUGACUGCCCUAUGGGUUGUAAACUUCUUUUAUACGGGAAUAAAGUUAGCCACGUGUGGCUUUUUGUAUGUACCGUAUGAAUAAGGAUCGGCUAACUCCGUGCCAGCAGCCGCGGUAAUACGGAGGAUCCGAGCGUUAUCCGGAUUUAUUGGGUUUAAAGGGAGCGUAGGCGGGUUGUUAAGUCAGUUGUGAAAGUUUGCGGCUCAACCGUAAAAUUGCAGUUGAUACUGGCGACCUUGAGUGCAACAGAGGUAGGCGGAAUUCGUGGUGUAGCGGUGAAAUGCUUAGAUAUCACGAAGAACUCCGAUUGCGAAGGCAGCUUACUGGAUUGUAACUGACGCUGAUGCUCGAAAGUGUGGGUAUCAAACAGGAUUAGAUACCCUGGUAGUCCACACAGUAAACGAUGAAUACUCGCUGUUGGCGAUAUACGGUCAGCGGCCAAGCGAAAGCAUUAAGUAUUCCACCUGGGGAGUACGCCGGCAACGGUGAAACUCAAAGGAAUUGACGGGGGCCCGCACAAGCGGAGGAACAUGUGGUUUAAUUCGAUGAUACGCGAGGAACCUUACCCGGGCUUAAAUUGCAACUGACGGAACCGGAAACGGUUCUUUCUUCGGACAGUUGUGAAGGUGCUGCAUGGUUGUCGUCAGCUCGUGCCGUGAGGUGUCGGCUUAAGUGCCAUAACGAGCGCAACCCUUACGGAUAGUUACCAUCAGGUUAUGCUGGGGACUCUACCCGGACUGCCGUCGUAAGAUGUGAGGAAGGUGGGGAUGACGUCAAAUCAGCACGGCCCUUACGUCCGGGGCUACACACGUGUUACAAUGGGGGGUACAGAAGGUAGCUACACGGCGACGUGGUGCUAAUCCCAAAAGCCUCUCUCAGUUCGGAUUGGAGUCUGCAACCCGACUCCAUGAAGCUGGAUUCGCUAGUAAUCGCGCAUCAGCCACGGCGCGGUGAAUACGUUCCCGGGCCUUGUACACACCGCCCGUCAAGCCAUGAAAGCCGGGGGUACCUGAAGUACGUAACCGCGAGGAGCGUCCUAGGGUAAAACUGGUGAUUGGGGC
This 1442-nucleotide ribosomal RNA is filed under the name uncultured organism. RNAcentral describes it as "16S ribosomal RNA". It matches the Rfam family "Bacterial small subunit ribosomal RNA". The record is from RNAcentral.